GUUUGAUCAUGGCUCAGAUUGAACGCUGGCGGCAGGCCUAACACAUGCAAGUCGAACGGUAACAUUUCUAGCUUGCUAGAAGAUGACGAGUGGCGGACGGGUGAGUAAUACUUAGGAACAUGCCUUUGUGUGGGGGAUAACUAUUGGAAACGAUAGCUAAUACCGCAUAACGUCUUCGGACCAAAGGGGGCUUCGGCUCCCGCGCAAAGAGUGGCCUAAGCGAGAUUAGCUUGUUGGUGAGGUAAGAGCUCACCAAGGCGACGAUC
RNAcentral lists this ribosomal RNA (266 nucleotides) under Skeletonema marinoi. RNAcentral's name for it is "partial Bacterial small subunit ribosomal RNA". It matches the Rfam family "Bacterial small subunit ribosomal RNA", at positions 11 to 281 of the family's 1533-position model. Lineage: Eukaryota; Bacillariophyta; Thalassiosirophyceae; Thalassiosirales; Thalassiosiraceae. The record is from RNAcentral.